GGGCAGCAGUGAGGGAUAUUGCGCAAUGGGGGAAACCCUGACGCAGCCACGCCGCGUGAGUGAAGAAGGCCUUCGGGUCGUAAAGCUCUGUCAGAGGGGAAGAAACCCGGGUAGGCCAAUAACCUAUUCGGCUGACGGUACCCUCAAAGGAAGCACCGGCUAACUCCGUGCCAGCAGCCGCGGUAAUACGGAGGGUGCAAGCGUUGUUCGGAAUUACUGGGCGUAAAGCGAGUGUAGGUGGCUUGAUAAGUCGAAUGUGAAAUCCCUGGGCUUAACUCAGGACGUGCAUCCGAUACUGUCAAGCUUGAGUCUCGGAGAGGGAAGCGGAAUUCCCGGUGGAGAGGUGAAAUUCGUAGAUAUCGGGAGGAACAUCAGUGGCGAAGGCGGCUUCCUGGACGAUGACUGACACUCAGACUCGAAAGCGUGGGUAGCAAACAGGAUUAGAUACCCCUGUAGUC
Molecule: ribosomal RNA, 458 nt
Filed under: uncultured microorganism
Description: bacterial SSU rRNA
Rfam family: Bacterial small subunit ribosomal RNA
Source: RNAcentral